UUGCCAUUGUGCUUUGUGACUGAGACGACAGGGACGACGGGUUUGGACGUUCGGGGGGUUCACGGAAGGGAAAUGGUCCCCGCCGGCAGCCGAAGCCACGACCCCCCAAGCAAAAGGUAGAAAAACACGGGUGGAGGUUCGGGGGAGUCCCCUAUCUCGAUAAUGAUCCUUCCGCAGGUUCACCUACGGAAA
Molecule: unclassified non-coding RNA, 192 nt
Filed under: uncultured fungus
Lineage: Eukaryota; Fungi
Description: sequence contains ITS1
Source: RNAcentral